AACGAACGCUGGCGGCAGGCCUAACACAUGCAAGUCGAGCGAACCCUUCGGGGUUAGCGGCGGACGGGUUAGUAACGCGUGGGAAUAUACCCUUUGGUACGGAAUAGCCUCGGGAAACUGAGAGUAAUACCGUAUGUGCCCUUCGGGGAAGAUUUAUCGCCAAAGGAUAAGCCCGCGUUGGAUUAGAUAGUUGGUGGGGUAAUGGCCUACCAAGUCUACGAUCCAUAGCUGGUUUGAGAGGAUGAUCAGCAACACUGGGACUGAGACACGGCCCAGACUCCUACGGGAGGCAGCAGUGGGGAAUCUUAGACAAUGGGCGCAAGCCUGAUCUAGCCAUGCCGCGUGGACGAUGAAGGCCUUUAGGGUUGUAAAGUCCUUUUCAGAUGGGAAGAUAAUGACGGUACCAUCAGAAGAAGCCCCGGCUAACUCCGUG
Molecule: ribosomal RNA, 433 nt
Filed under: uncultured bacterium
Lineage: Bacteria
Description: bacterial SSU rRNA
Rfam family: Bacterial small subunit ribosomal RNA
Source: RNAcentral